UCUAAUCAGCUGACUGAGGAUCUGCAAAGCAAAGGAAGGCUGUGAAAAGAAGUGCUUCCGGGUAGCUAUUUGCACUGUCCGAAAUGUCAUUAAGAAUUAGCAGUUCGGGGGGAACUGUGCAAGUCAAGGCAAGAUCUGAAACGGCUCAUAUAGUAUGCUGGCAAGAAAAGCAAAGCAAAACCACCAUCUGACACUAAAGACCUGCAGGAAGGUUUAGCUGACACAGUGCAGCGCUGCUUGUACAUGUAUACGGUCUGCAUGGAAGAGUCAUCAGAAGAGACACUUUACGUGCAACCUCGUCACAAAAGUGAACGUCUGAUAUAUGCAAACAUUAUCUAGAUAAGCCAGAGGCAUUUUGGAACUUUCUAUGGACUGAUGAAGUAAGGAUGGAGCGGUCACUACCAUCACCAGUGGUAUGUUUGGAAAAAUGAAGGAGAAGCAUUUGAUGAAAAGUAUAUCUUGUUAAUUAUUAACCAUGGUGGUAGAGAUAUACUUCUGGUUUGUGUGGCACAGGAAACAUUGCGCAGGUAAAGGGAGGAGCGACAUCGAACUGCUUAUUAAGAGAAACAGCCCUGAUGCCAUGGAUAUCUUGAAAACAUCUGGUCAUGAUAACAUGGCAUCUUUGUCAUUGGACGUAAACUAUGAUGGUGACUCAUGGCGGCAUAUAACAGCUUCCCUCAUUAUGUCAUAAUGGGUAAAUAGUAAGCUUUUUAUGGUUUAAUACAUGGGUGUCCAAUCUUAUCCGCAAAGGUCCGGUGUGGACUGGACACGCCUGGUUUAAUAUAACAAAUGUUUUCCAUUCUUUCCUUCCCUUCUCAUUCUUUAGCCUUCUCUGUUUUUCUCUUUCUCCUUUUCCCUCCUGGAGGAUACUGACGCUGCUCUGGUCGUCUGUUUUAUUCCUCCCUCUUUCCUGUGACAGGAGGAUUUAUUUUUCCCUGCGCCAGUACUCUGUCUAAAAUCCUCUUCUCAGAGUAUAAAAGCAUCACGCGCUCUUUCUGCUUCUCUCCCCCUCCCUCCAUGCCUCCAUCCCUCCUGACUCGUCCUCAUCACCCCUCCCUCAGUACGUGUUGCAGGAACAUCGCUUGCUAUUGGUGUUGGCCUGCUGUUAAUGUCGUGCAUCAUUGCCACCAUAACCCCACGGGGAGGAGGAGAGAAUCUCGUUUUUUUCCCCCCCUGUCUUGCUCCCUCACUUGCCGAUAAUGCAGAUCUCGGUAAUUGAAUUUUGAUGUUUUUUUGCUUCCUGCUGAAGGACAGAGUGUCGCAGACGACCAGCCUGAGGAGAAGAGAGGUGAUCUCCAUCAUCCCAUGCUCUCAUCUCGUUCCUCUCUGCUCAUUUGUCUUAGCAUGCAGAUCCUGAUUGUUUUUUAUCCUUUCUGUGAGCAUCAUCAUCAUCAUCUCUCUCUCUCGCCCUCUCUCAUCUAGCCGUUUCUGAAAACAUCCUCAUGAGUCUCUCCCUGUCAUUA
This is a long non-coding RNA of Ictalurus punctatus (channel catfish), 1463 nucleotides long. The record is from Ensembl. NCBI's taxonomy places the organism in Eukaryota, Metazoa, Chordata, Actinopteri, Siluriformes, Ictaluridae.